ACGGAGGAUCCAAGCGUUAUCCGGAUUUAUUGGGUUUAAAGGGCGCGUAGGCGGACUCGUUAGUCUGUGGUGAAAGUUUGUAGCUCAACUGUAAAAUUGCUAUUAAAACUGUGAAUCUUGAAUGUAGAUGAGGUAGACGGAAUUUGUUGUGUAGCGGUGAAAUGCUUAGAUAUAACACAGAACACCGAUUGCGAAGGCAGCUUACUGGAAUACAACUGACGCUGAGGCGCGAAAGCGUGGGGAUCAAACAG
This 251-nucleotide ribosomal RNA is filed under the name uncultured prokaryote. RNAcentral describes it as "partial 16S rRNA". It matches the Rfam family "Bacterial small subunit ribosomal RNA", at positions 525 to 775 of the family's 1533-position model. The record is from RNAcentral.